RNAcentral lists this ribosomal RNA (207 nucleotides) under uncultured bacterium. RNAcentral's name for it is "partial 16S ribosomal RNA". It matches the Rfam family "Bacterial small subunit ribosomal RNA", at positions 568 to 774 of the family's 1533-position model. The record is from RNAcentral.
AGCGUAGGCGGACUUUUAAGUGAGAUGUGAAAUACCCGGGCUCAACUUGGGUGCUGCAUUUCAAACUGGAAGUCUAGAGUGCAGGAGAGGAGAAUGGAAUUCCUAGUGUAGCGGUGAAAUGCGUAGAGAUUAGGAAGAACACCAGUGGCGAAGGCGAUUCUCUGGACUGUAACUGACGCUGAGGCUCGAAGGCGUGGGGAGCAAACA